GUGGGGAAUUUUGGACAAUGGGGGCAACCCUGAUCCAGCAAUGCCGCGUGCAGGAAGAAGGCCUUCGGGUUGUAAACUGCUUUUGUACGGAACGAAACGGUCCUGGUUAAUACCUGGGGCUAAUGACGGUACCGUAAGAAUAAGCACCGGCUAACUACGUGCCAGCAGCCGCGGUAAUACGUAGGGUGCUAGCGUUAAUCGGAAUUACUGGGCGUAAAGCGUGCGCAGGCGGUUUUGUAAGACAGGCGUGAAAUCCCCGGGCUCAACCUGGGAAUGGCGCUUGUGACUGCAAGGCUGGAGUGCGGCAGAGGGGGAUGGAAUUCCGCGUGUAGCUGUGAAAUGCGUAGAUAUGCGGAGGAACACCGAUGGCGAAGGCAAUCCCCUGGGCCUGCACUGACGCUCAUGCACGAAAGCGUGGGGAGCAAACAGGAUUAGAAACCCCGGUAGUCC
This 450-nucleotide ribosomal RNA is filed under the name uncultured bacterium. Its description in RNAcentral is "partial 16S ribosomal RNA". It matches the Rfam family "Bacterial small subunit ribosomal RNA", at positions 354 to 796 of the family's 1533-position model. The record is from RNAcentral.